RNAcentral lists this transfer RNA (79 nucleotides) under bacterium. Its description in RNAcentral is "tRNA-Val". It matches the Rfam family "tRNA". From Rfam's summary of the family: Transfer RNA (tRNA) molecules are approximately 80 nucleotides in length. RNAcentral also lists the same sequence under 3 other names. The record is from RNAcentral.
AGACCCGUAGCUCAGUCUUGGUUAGAGCGCCGCAUUGACAUUGCGGAGGUCGAUGGUUCGAGUCCAUUCGGGUCUACCA